Molecule: non-coding RNA, 77 nt
Filed under: Escherichia coli 1.2741
Lineage: Bacteria; Pseudomonadati; Pseudomonadota; Gammaproteobacteria; Enterobacterales; Enterobacteriaceae
Source: RNAcentral
GGGAGCCGUAUGAAGCGAGAGUUUCACGUACGGUUCUGCGAGAGGCUGUCGGGGAGGUUCCGGUGGCCUACUCACUU